RNAcentral lists this long non-coding RNA (6781 nucleotides) under Equus asinus (donkey). RNAcentral describes it as "lncRNA (ENSEASG00005031316.1)". The record is from RNAcentral. Lineage: Eukaryota; Metazoa; Chordata; Mammalia; Perissodactyla; Equidae.
CUAGCUGUAACGCAGAACCCUCGCAACACCAAAUGCACAAUGAUGCAGUUCAAUAGGGCUUCUCAUUUGUUGCUGGUGGUAAUGCAAAAUGGUAUAGUCACUUUGGAAAACACUCUGGUGGUUUCUUACAAAGCUAAACAUACUCUUUCCAUAUGAUCCAGCAAUCAUGCUCCCAGGUAUUUACUCAAAUGAGUUUAAAACUUAUGUCCACAGAAAAACUUGCAUAAGAAUGUUUAUAGUAGUUUCAUUCAUAAUCGCCAAAAUUUGGAAGCAAGCAAGAUGUCCUUCAGGAUGAAUGGAUAAACAAACUGUGAUACAUCCACACAAUGGAGCAUUAUUCAGUGAUAAAAAGAAAUAAGCUAUUAAGCUAUGAAAAGACAUAGAGAAAGCAUAAAAGAGAAAAAUCUUAAAAGCUAAGUGAGAGAAUUAUCUUAGGCUGAAAAAGCCACUUACUAUAUGGUUCCAAUUAUAUGAUAUUCUGUAAAAGGUAAAACUAUAAAGACAAUAAGAAGAUCAGAGGUUGUCAGGGAUUCAGGGGGAGGAGCAGAGGGACGAAUGAGGGAACACCCAGGGAAUUUUUAGGUCAGUGAAAUUAUUUUGUGAGAUACUGUAAUGGUGGAUACCCAUAGAACUGUAUGACACAAAGAAUGAACCAAAAUGUAAGCUAUGGACAGUAGUUACUAAUAAUAUAGCAGUUGUCUGACAUUUUUGAGAGGAUAACCAAAAAUUUGUUAUUGACACCACUCUCAGUCACCAUCAUGGUUAAGUUGCUCUUGUUUAGCUGUGAAACUUAUUUAUAGGUUAUGAUGUCGAGUUCAUGGAAGGUUUUUGCUGUUCAUCUCAUGGUUCGUCUUCUUUUUGUUUCUCCAAGUGAGAUCAUCUAAUGUACUGCUUUGGCUGUAAACACGACGCUUGGGAGAACACAGGCCACCAGGAAGACCACAAUGAUGACUAUCAGGAGGAUAAUACCAACAGACAGAAAUAUGCUUCUUAGCCAGGUUCCCCCUGAACCAAACCAGUUGGCAGUUGGCACUAAAUAAAUCAAAGAACGUACCUGAAGAGGCAUCAAUCUCUUUGAGUCAAGUGGCUUGUUUGUUAAUUUCUUGUAUGAAGAGUUACUGCAGUACCAGAAGUAUUGAUCCAGGUACAGUAGGAGCUAUUUCCUAUGGCACAGACUCCUCCUUGCUCAGCACAGAGGUAAUCUAAAGCAAUUCUAUUAUCUAACACCAUCUCAUCAGCUCAAAAGAAUCCUUUUGCCAAAGAGGCAUCUUUUGGGGUAGCACAUCUUGCUACCCUUCAAGGUCAUGCUGCCUUGGUUUGUGCUUGUUUUGUUUUGCUUCUCUCAUAUUUUUUUCAUCAGGCUACAGAAAUUUUGAAGAAAAAUAAUGGAAUUUAUAAUUUUUGCAAUAUUAUUAUCACUAAGUGUGGAACCUAAUUACUUUGCUUGUAUUUUUAAUUCUCAUAAUAACUCAAUGUGCUAAAAAUUAGCAUCAGUAUUUUCAUAAGAAUCGGGAAAAACUGAGUUAAGAUACCAGCGAAUACAUAUCUAGUAAAUUAUAGAGCCAAGAUGAAGCCCAAGUCUAAUUCAUUUCAACAGCAUUAUUUGCUAGCCUACCACACUGUCAUGGAUAAUUAAUCUUUAUGGCUUGGGAUAAGUUCUGGUAAUCAUUUUAGAAAUAAAUAUCAAGUCAUAGUCUCACAGAUAAAUGAGCAAUAGCUCACCGUGCUUCAAACAUUCUUUCUUCCCAUUUUAAUGCCAUAUCCCACCCACCACCAAUGCUUUACUCAGUAUUUCCAUUCAAGGACGCAUCUCCAAAUACAAGAAGUUUCCAAGAAUAAGCCAGACUCUUCUCCUGGUAAUGAAACAGGCAUCCAAGACUAUAUUAAUGAAAUAGGUAAUGCCAAUCCUUAGUGUCCAAUCCCAUUCCUCAUUAAGUCUGGAAUGGGUGAUGUUGAUAUAUAAAUCCUGUAAUGUAUAUGGAUCCUGCUCCAUUAUUCUUCUCCCCAUCUGCUCCCUACCAUCUGUCUCACCCGUUAUCAGAUGCUGAACCCUAAUGUUUGAGAUUCACUCUACUGAAGAUCAGGAGAUCUUGUUGACUUGGAGGCUUAAGAACCAAAACCAGAUUCUGAAUCCGUUGCUAAGUUGAAAUCUCCCAACUAAUAAACCCCACUAUAGGAUAUUCCUGAUGAGGACUGGACCACAGCAACUGGAUUGCUUGCAGAUCCUCUGAAUGAAACCAAGCCCUAAGUAACAUGGAUAUUUCUGAUUAGUCACAGAGCUUAUAAGAUACAUUCAACAUUGAGAUAUUUCAGGAUGGAGGGAUCACAUAUAUUCCCUAGCCCCCAUGAAGAACUGGCUCAGACAUGAAAAACUCCUCCUAAGACGCAUCUAGUAGUUUAUUGUAUUCAAAACAAUCACAGUCACAGUUUGAAGAAACUCCAAGCAAUAAGCAUACAGAAGAUUUCCCCAUAGAAUGUUCAAAAGGUUCCAUAGCAGAGGAAGGAUCCUGUGGGGUCUAUUCCAGAGGUAUUACAUGGUGAUAAUAAAAAGAUAGUGGGAAAUGGAGGGAAAACAGAUACAAGAAGGGGCAACAGACAGAGGAGAGAGCUGCAUAUGGAGGCAUCAACACUCUUCAAGUAGCUAAAGGGCUGGAAGGCUGAAGAAUGGUUGUCUUCACUGAAGUGAACAAUUGGAGUAUUGUCAGGUUAUAAGGCUAGUAAAGCAGAAGUUUCUUCAUUGAUCUUCUCUCUAAGGCCAUUACCUGUAGAAGGACACACAUGGUUACUAAAGAAUUUAAGAUGAAUAUUUUGAGCUCUUUCCUUCGGAUUCCUUCCUUUCCUCCCUUAAACCUUUGACUUUGGAAAGGUCUCUUAAUAUUCAUCUGAUCUCUGGUAAAUAUCACCUUUUCAACAUGAACUGAUAUACCCUACUCUCCAAGUGAGCAUGAAUGAGCAGACCAUGCUUUACCUUCUCUUAGAACUCUGGCACCACUUUUCAGAUUGGAGGAGCAAAAACAGGCAUUGACCUCCAAGAGAUUUCCAUUUCAUGCAAUGAAUCUACCCUAACCCAAAAAGAGUCAAGCUCUGGAAAUUCUUCUGAACUGAUGGUCUGCCUCAGGAAAUAUAAGCCAGGAAGUGCCCAAAUCUUGAAGCUGACUUUCCUAGAUCACUGGACUCAGUAUUUUAAUGUAAAACAAUGAUCUUAGGUACUGGAGAUAAUUUCCAAGACUGAAGAUGUGGUCUGGGUACACAUGUAUGGAAAAGGAUGGAUGAGGGACUGGGAAGCUUUGGGAUACUAGAAAAUGUUAACGUCUGAUUCUGUCCUAGAAAAGAUAAAUCAAGAGCCAUGAAUUUUCCUAUCUUUUUCCCUUAAAGGCAUCACAUAUCCUUUUCCCCGCUCUGUUUCUUUCCCUUGGAUAACUCCAUAUGUGUCUUCCUUUGACCACAUCAAACCCACCUGCAGAUGCCUCACAGAGGCCCUCGGCGUUCAACAGCAUUGCCUUUGCGCACACCCUUGAUGAUGAAGAUGGUCCCAACAAUGAUUCCUACCAGACCCACAACCAGGCCCAGGCCACACACCACAUUCUCUGUUGUCUCUGAGAGGGGAGUUGGCGCUUCAAACUCUGGGUAAGAAGAAAACAAUACAGAAGUAACAAAUGUGGUAGGGAAUAGCACUUAGGACCAAAUGUAGGGUACUUAGAUAAAAGAAUAGUUAUUAGUCAAUUAAAUAAGAGGGAGACAGAAUGAUGAAGUAAGAGAAUUACAGAUUAGAGAGUAGAGGAAGCUGGUUAAUGAGAGAAGACAAGGAAUAGGAAUUGCAGCCAUUGUUAUGAAACAGGGGACUUAGAGUUCCAAAGGACCAGACAUGUGUUUCAAAGGAGGAAACCAUAAAAGAAAGGAGAUUGAAGAAUGGUCCAUACCCCAGUGCUUGAGAAGAGGCUCAUCCAAACCCCAAUGCUCCACCUUGCAGUCAUAAACAUCCUCAGUUGAGGGCAAGAAGGGGAGAUAGUGGAACUUGCGGAAAAGUUGGUCAUCCCUGGGCAGGAAGACUGUCUCUGACACUCCCGUGGUGACAGGUUUUCCAUUUUUAAGCCACGUGACAUCGAUCACUGGUGGGGAGAACUUGUCGACGAAACAGAUGAGAACGUUGGGCUCUCCCAGUUCCACAGGCUUGUUUGGGAGCACAGUCACCUCUGGAGGUACCAUUGGUGUUUGGAGUGUUGUUGGAGCGCUUCAUCAUGAUCUCCAGGUUGGCUUUGUCCACAGCUAUAUUGGCCAAAGCACCCUGAGCCUCAAAGCUGGCAAAACGUCCAAAUUCUUCAAGCCGCCAGACCGUCUCCUUCUUGUCCAUAUCCACGUGAAAAAUCUCAUCACCAUCAAAGUCAAACAUAAACUCUCCUGAGUCGUCAGGGUUCAGAUAGAACUCAGCCUGGAUGAUCACGUGAUCCUCUGAAAAGACAGGAAAGGGAACUAGGAUGAGAAGCAGGAGAAGGAGAUGAAGAAGAACCCAGGAUGUGAGGCACAAACAUGUGGGCAGAGGACAGUGGAAAGUGAUAGUACCAAGUGGAAUGGAGGAGUAAUGGAGAGUAGGGAUGAGUGGGAAGGUGAGGCCUGGGUAAAGGACACCUGUGCUAAACAGAGCUGGGAGGGGAGAGGCAAAGGGGCAGUGUUGGAGAGGGUGGGUUGAAAGGAAUGAUGUCUAAAAAACCCAGUCUUGUGAAACUGCUUUUAGCUCCAUGUUACUAGCUGAGAAAUGAUUCCUUCUUGAGAAAUCUAGCAGCAGCUCCUAAAAGAGAAAGGUCUCUCACUCUCUUUGCCCAGGCAUUGAAUACACUUCAGCCAGAACCCCAGGGCAUCUCUCAAGAGCAUUGUAACUCUAAGAAGAGGGAAACUGUUUAAAAGGCUGGGUUCUGAACUCUAGAAUCAAAUUAAAUAUUGAAUUCUUACUUGGCUACUCACUUACCUAGUGAUUUUGAGUAGAUUAUUUUACCUAGAUUAGUAGAUUAUAAGCAGUUAUCCUAUUAUAAUUCUUCUGUGGUUUUGCUUCCAUUCUGGAUUUGUUUUUAAGAUUAAAUGAGACAGUAAGUAAUUUCUUGGUAUAUCAUUAGGCUUAUAACAAAUAUUUUAGGGUCAGAAAUUGCUUUGCAUUUAAGGACUAGACCCAUGGAAAAUAUAACUAGGACCUGAGGUCUCCAGAAAAUUAAGAUUGUGACCUUGCAGUGUGGUAGAGCACCGACUUUCCUGGAUCCACACCCACACCACGGAUACCUCUGUGAGAAGGAUUAUAUUUGGAUUUAUCUCAGCAAAGUGCCCUUGUAUCUUAACAUGCCUUAAAUUGAGACUAUCAUCAUGGGACAUAUUCUAUUAUGGUUGAUACUAAGAAUAAUCUAUACUAAGAGAAUAAUUAACUUGAAAAAAGAAAGCUACAAUUGGAGAGCAUUCAGUCUCUGUGGUGUAUGUAGAUGGGAGAAGAAUUUUAAAGUCUGACUGUAUAUUGAUAAAGCCAGGGAUUUAUUUAGCAUUUGCAACUAUGCACGUGCACACACACACACACACACACACAUUCUGGCUGCUCCUUUCCAUUCCAUGGGAAUAGCCUCUGUCUUUCCCGGUAUGCAUCCCCAUAUAUAGCUCUUUCCAGGCAAUAGAAACCUACAGUCACCAUCAUGGGUCUUGAAGCUGGGUUAUUACUUUAUUUAUUUCCAGUCUACCUGCCACCCUCUGUAGGGAUCACUCUGAGUGAAGAAUAUUUUUUCACAACAGUUUGCUCUGGAGAUGACAGAAUAGCAGACUCUCCACUUUACCCAUUUUUCUACUCUCUUGGGGAUAUCACUUAGUAAUAGUAACCAAAGAUCAUGGUAAGAUCCACUGUAGUGGGGGACUAUCACUGUCCCAAGAGGCAGUAAAUUAAGUGCAAUUCAUAUCAGCGUACCCGUCCUUCCCCCUCCCUUGGGUAGAUUAUUGCUUUUUGGUGACUUUCGUUCCUACUGAUCUUCAAUAAAAUGUCUGUGCUCAAAAUAUGCUGACAGGAUUCUCACACCAAAAAAAUAACUACCAUGUUUUCAGCUAAGAAUAGGUGCCAAGAACUCCUCAUGCUUUUUCUCAUUUAAUCCUCACAAAAUUAUGUGAGGUUUUUAAUUUUCCUAAUUUUCCGGAAAAAAAAAAUUAAAGCCUGGAGAGGUAGCUUGUUAAUGCCUGUCAGAAAAUAUUUCCCCCUCAAGUCUGACUUAUCUCAAAGUCAGUGGUAGUAAUCAACAUACAUCUCAGCUUUGCCCCUCUAAAGUAAAUUAGACUUACUUCAAUCCGUGGUGAGGAGAAAGCUCUUCGAACUACAAUUUAUUGUACUUUUAGAUUUAGACCCACAUAACACCUGUCACACUUUUCUUCACUCUAAAGAUUGUCUUGCAAGUGUCGACAGUUCAUUCUCCAGUCCUCUCAGACCUUGUUGUCCCUGGUUUUGAUUCUCUCAGCACUUACCUUUAAUAGCCCGUGAUUCCUCAAAGCUCAUCAGGACAGCUGUGAUGAAAAGUCCCAGCAUAGGGACUCCACUUAUGGCCAUUUUCUUCUUGGGUGCUUUGAUGGGGGUCAGCAGAGGUUAAGAAUGGGACAGCACAGACAAGAAUAAAAGAAAAGAGAGUGUAGGGUGUGAUAGCGUCUGACCGACUAAAAUUCAAAUCAGUUGAGCUUCAGCCAAUCAGAAAAAUUCUUGGAGAUGACACAUCUGUUGCCAAGGGCAGGACUCUUGUAAAGGGCUCAGGAAAGGAAACACUUCAUUCAUCAG